Molecule: ribosomal RNA, 168 nt
Filed under: uncultured bacterium
Lineage: Bacteria
Description: partial 16S ribosomal RNA
Rfam family: Bacterial small subunit ribosomal RNA
Source: RNAcentral
CCUACGGGAGGCAGCAGUGGGGAAUUUUGGACAAUGGGCGCAAGCCUGAUCCAGCAAUGCCGCGUGCAGGAAGAAGGCCUUCGGGUUGUAAACUGCUUUUGUACGGAACGAAACGGUCUGGGUUAAUACCUCGGGCUAAUGACGGUACCGUAAGAAUAAGCACCGGCU